Molecule: ribosomal RNA, 235 nt
Filed under: uncultured bacterium
Lineage: Bacteria
Description: partial 16S ribosomal RNA
Rfam family: Bacterial small subunit ribosomal RNA
Source: RNAcentral
UGAGCAAUCUGCCCUUCUCUUCGGAAUAAGCGUUGGAAACGACGUCUAAUGCCGAAUACGACCUCCUUUCGCAUGAUCGGAGGUGGAGAGCUCCGGCGGAGAAGGAUGAGCUCGCGGCCUAUCAGCUAGUUGGUGUGGGUAAUGGCCCACCAAGGCGACGACGGGUAGCCGGCCUGAGAGGGUGACCGGCCACACUGGGACUGAGACACGGCCCAGACUCCUACGGGGGGNAGCG